RNAcentral lists this ribosomal RNA (255 nucleotides) under uncultured bacterium. RNAcentral describes it as "partial 16S ribosomal RNA". It matches the Rfam family "Bacterial small subunit ribosomal RNA", at positions 524 to 776 of the family's 1533-position model. The record is from RNAcentral.
UACGUAGGGUGCAAGCGUUAUCCGGAAUUAUUGGGCGUAAAGAGCUCGUAGGCGGUCUGUCGCGUCUGCUGUGAAAUCCCGAGGCUCAACCUCGGGCUUGCAGUGGGUACGGGCAGGCUAGAGUGCGGUAGGGGAGAAUGGAACUCCUGGUGUAGCGGUGGAAUGCGCAGAUAUCAGGAAGAACACCGGAUGGCGAAGGCAGUUCUCUGGGCCGUAACUGACGCUGAGGAGCGAAAAGCGUGGGGAGCGAACAGG